Molecule: ribosomal RNA, 610 nt
Filed under: uncultured bacterium
Lineage: Bacteria
Description: bacterial SSU rRNA
Rfam family: Bacterial small subunit ribosomal RNA (bases 1-544)
Source: RNAcentral
CCUACGGGAGGCAGCAGUAGGGAAUCUUCCGCAAUGGACGAAAGUCUGACGGAGCAACGCCGCGUGAACGAUGAAGGCCUUCGGGUCGUAAAGUUCUGUUGUUAGGGAAGAACAAGUGCUAGUUAAAUAAGCUGGCACCUUGACGGUACCUAACCAGAAAGCCACGGCUAACUACGUGCCAGCAGCCGCGGUAAUACGUAGGUGGCAAGCGUUGUCCGGAAUUAUUGGGCGUAAAGCGCGCGCAGGCGGUUUCUUAAGUCUGAUGUGAAAGCCCCCGGCUCAACCGGGGAGGGUCAUUGGAAACUGGGAAACUUGAGUGCAGAAGAGGAAAGUGGAAUUCCAAGUGUAGCGGUGAAAUGCGUAGAGAUUUGGAGGAACACCAGUGGCGAAGGCGACUUUCUGGUCUGUAACUGACGCUGAGGCGCGAAAGCGUGGGGAGCAAACAGGAUUAGAUACCCUGGUAGUCCACGCUGUAAACGAUGAGUGCUAAGUGUUAGAGGGUUUCCGCCCUUUAGUGCUGAAGUUAACGCAUUAAGCNCUCGCUGGAGUACGUCGCAGANGAACUAAUAGAGUAGAGCGUGAGAGUGCGACGACGACGACGAGGGAGAGG